AGAGUUUGAUCUUGGCUCAGGAUAAACGCUGGCGGCGUGCAUGAGACAUGCAUGUCGAACGAAUUUCUCGGGCUUGCUCGAGAAGUUAGUGGCGGACGGCUGAGUAACGCGUAGGUGACCUGCCCCGAAGUGGGGAAUAACUGCCCGAAAGGGGUGGCUAAUACCGCAUGUGAUCGGUAAUUCAUUUGAUCGAUCAAAGCAGUAAUGCGCUUUGGGAGGGGCCUGCGUCCGAUUAGCUCGUUGGUGGGGUAAUGGCUCACCAAGGCGACGAUCGGUAGGUGGUCUGAGAGGACGAUCACCCAGACUGGGACUGAGACACGGCCCAGACUCCUACGGGAGGCAGCAGUCGGGAAUUUUGCUCAAUGGACGAAAGUCUGAAGCAGCAACGCCGCGUGAGGGAUGAAGGCCUUCGGGUUGUAACCUACUUUUCUCUAGGGACGAUGAUGACGGUACCUGA
RNAcentral lists this ribosomal RNA (457 nucleotides) under uncultured Acidobacteriota bacterium. RNAcentral describes it as "bacterial SSU rRNA". It matches the Rfam family "Bacterial small subunit ribosomal RNA", at positions 8 to 482 of the family's 1533-position model. Lineage: Bacteria; Pseudomonadati; Acidobacteriota. The record is from RNAcentral.